CUUCACUUCCUUUAAAUUAGUUUACUGUGUUAUUGGUAAGAUCAUGAAUCUUGCUGUCCUGCCCUAUUCAGAGCCUGAGUCAUGAUCAUGUUUUCUCUUCCAGUGAGAUUAUUAUAGGAUGAAGGCCAAGUGGAUGUCAGAGAAAACAGAACUUUAAUAAAUGGAAUGUCUGCAAUGCUAUAUCAGAGAGUUUAAAGACAAAAUGAGUAUAUGACUUUGAAGCAAAGGAUGGUGGAUAUGUGAGGAGUGGAUGAACCUUUUGUUUUCUUCUUCAUUAUUAUGAGCCGGACCCAGAAGACCUGGAGUAGAAGAGGAGUGACUGGAUUCUUUUCAUCUCUUUGUCAGAAUCUGGGCACAAUAGCAGCCGUGAUGAUGUUUUGGAGAGCUAUAAAAGCAAAUAGAACUUUUAAACACUCCAGCAAAAGGUUUUCAAAGGAACUUGUAGCACCCAUGUGGUCACUCUUCCUGGUGAUCACAACAGUCACUGUGGUGAUUUCGAAGUCCCUUUCCUUCACUUCUCUAACACUACAGUCAUUCAACGUGUAGCCAAGGCAAGCUUUUAAAGAGUAAAUCCAGUCAGUUUAUACUUUGACUUGCAACUCUCUUACUAGACUGAGAAUAAGGUCCAGACUCCUCAUUUUUUCUCUUUAAGAUCUUACUUGAACUGGCUUGUACUUCUUUCUCUGAUCUUGUUCUGAACAUGUUUCUAUUUCAUGCACUACCUACC
RNAcentral lists this long non-coding RNA (727 nucleotides) under Cricetulus griseus (Chinese hamster). RNAcentral describes it as "lncRNA (ENSCGRG00000026262.1)". Lineage: Eukaryota; Metazoa; Chordata; Mammalia; Rodentia; Cricetidae. The record is from RNAcentral.